GGGCUUCUAGUUUAAUUGGUUGAAACGUACCGCUCAUAACGGGAAUAUUGUAGGUUCGAGCCCUACUCAGCCCA
RNAcentral lists this transfer RNA (74 nucleotides) under Phalaenopsis mannii. Its description in RNAcentral is "tRNA-Met". It matches the Rfam family "tRNA". Rfam says of the family: Transfer RNA (tRNA) molecules are approximately 80 nucleotides in length. RNAcentral also lists the same sequence under 1 other name. The record is from RNAcentral. Lineage: Eukaryota; Viridiplantae; Streptophyta; Magnoliopsida; Asparagales; Orchidaceae.